This 459-nucleotide ribosomal RNA is filed under the name uncultured bacterium. RNAcentral describes it as "partial 16S ribosomal RNA". It matches the Rfam family "Bacterial small subunit ribosomal RNA", at positions 28 to 507 of the family's 1533-position model. The record is from RNAcentral.
GAUGAACGCUGGCGGCGCGCCUAACACAUGCAAGUCGAACGGCACCCCUCCUCGGAGGGAAGCGAGUGGCGAACGGCUGAGUAACACGUGGAGAACCUGCCCCCUCCCCCGGGAUAGCCGCCCGAAAGGACGGGUAAUACCGGAUACCCCGGGGUGCCGCAUGGCACCCCGGCUAAAGCCCCGACGGGAGGGGAUGGCUCCGCGGCCCAUCAGGUAGACGGCGGGGUGACGGCCCACCGUGCCGACAACGGGUAGCCGGGUUGAGAGACCGACCGGCCAGGUUGGGACUGAGACACGGCCCAGACUCCUACGGGAGGCAGCAGUGGGGAAUCUUGCGCAAUGGGGGGAACCCUGACGCAGCGACGCCGCGUGCGGGACGGAGGCCUUCGGGUCGUAAACCGCUUUCAGCAGGGAAGAGUCAAGACUGUACCUGCAGAAGAAGCCCCGGCUAACUACGUG